This 706-nucleotide ribosomal RNA is filed under the name uncultured bacterium. RNAcentral describes it as "bacterial SSU rRNA". It matches the Rfam family "Bacterial small subunit ribosomal RNA", at positions 1 to 700 of the family's 1533-position model. The record is from RNAcentral.
AGAUUAGAGUUUGAUCAUGGCUCAGAUUGAACGCUGGCGGCAUGCCUAACACAUGCAAGUCGAACGGAAACGAUGCUAGCUUGCUAGCAGGCGUCGAGUGGCGGACGGGUGAGUAAUGCAUAGGAAUCUACCUAGUAGUGGGGGACAACCUGGUGAAAACCAGGCUAAUACCGCAUAAUCCCUACGGGGCAAAGCAGGGGACCUUCGGGCCUUGCGCUAAUAGAUGAGCCUAUGUCGGAUUAGCUUGUUGGUGUGGUAAUGGCUCACCAAGGCAACGAUCCGUAGCUGGUCUGAGAGGAUGAUCAGCCACACUGGGACUGAGACACGGCCCAGACUCCUACGGGAGGCAGCAGUGGGGAAUAUUGCACAAUGGGCGCAAGCCUGAUGCAGCAAUGCCGCGUGUGUGAAGAAGGCCUUAGGGUUGUAAAGCACUUUCAGUAGGGAGGAAAAGUUCAAGGUUAAUAACCUUGGGCCCUGACGUUACCUACAGAAGAAGCACCGGCUAACUCCGUGCCAGCAGCCGCGGCAAUACGGAGGGUGCAAGCGUUAAUCGGAAUUACUGGGCGUAAAGCGCGCGUAGGCGGUUAAGUCAGUCAGAUGUGAAAGCCCCGGGCUCAACCUGGGAACUGCAUUUGAUACUGCUUAGCUAGAGUAUGGUAGAGGAGAGUGGAAUUUCAGGUGUAGCGGUGAAAUGCGUAGAUAUCUG